RNAcentral lists this ribosomal RNA (460 nucleotides) under uncultured bacterium. RNAcentral's name for it is "partial 16S ribosomal RNA". It matches the Rfam family "Bacterial small subunit ribosomal RNA", at positions 338 to 795 of the family's 1533-position model. The record is from RNAcentral.
CCUACGGGAGGCAGCAGUGAGGAAUAUUGGUCAAUGGCCGGAAGGCUGAACCAGCCAUGCCGCGUGAAGGUCAGUGCCCUAUGGGCGUUAAACUUCUUUUGUGCGGGAGCAAUAAUGGUCACGUGUGGCCAGACGAGAGUACCGUACGAAUAAGCAUCGGCUAACUCCGUGCCAGCAGCCGCGGUAAUACGGGGGAUGCAAGCGUUAUCCGGAUUUAUUGGGUUUAAAGGGUGCGUAGGCUGUGAGGUAAGUCAGCGGUGAAAUGCCCCCGCUCAACGGGGUGAAGUGCCAUUGAUACUGCCUGGCUGGAAUGCGGAUGCCGUGGGAGGAAGGUGUGGUGUAGCGGUGAAAUGCAUAGAUAUCACAAAGAACACCGAUUGCGAAGGCAUCUCACGAAUCCGCGAUUGACGCUGAUGCACGAAAGCGUGGGUAUCAAACAGGAUUAGAUACCCUUGUAGUC